CGAGCGAGCGGAUGAAGGAUACGGUUGGCAUGGAAACAGGGAUUGCCUGAGAGGUUGAACUACAAGCAAAUGGCACAAAAGCUCGGGGCAUCAUUAUCUCGCCAUCAUUGUCCAGAAAGACAGCGGGGGCCACACAUCGAAGGAUCUCAGCAUGUGGGUGGACGCAGAGGGUCUGAGCUGUGAUGAGAUUCGUCAGCCAGACGUCAGGUGGAAUAAGAGGUGAGAAACCAAAGAAAUGACUUGCAGAAGAAAAACAUUUUCAGCUGUCAGAGUUGCCAAACCCUGGAGGAUGAACAUCCAGCUGGCUUUUACUGUCAGGAGAUGACCGGAUACGUAACGCAUACAGCAAUCAUCCGAGAGCUGUCUGCAGACUUCAAUAUGAAUGAUCUCGUGUAUACUCUUUACCUUCAUGGAUAUGGAUUACAUCUAACCUGGG
Misgurnus anguillicaudatus (oriental weatherfish) is the source of this 436-nucleotide long non-coding RNA. RefSeq lists it as uncharacterized. Lineage: Eukaryota; Metazoa; Chordata; Actinopteri; Cypriniformes; Cobitidae. The record is from RefSeq and is a predicted model, not a curated record.